RNAcentral lists this non-coding RNA (159 nucleotides) under Glycine max (soybean). RNAcentral's name for it is "Bacterial large subunit ribosomal RNA". It matches the Rfam family "Bacterial large subunit ribosomal RNA", at positions 2473 to 2632 of the family's 2925-position model. The record is from Rfam by way of RNAcentral. Lineage: Eukaryota; Viridiplantae; Streptophyta; Magnoliopsida; Fabales; Fabaceae.
GAUAAUAGGCUAAUCUUUCCCAAAGCUCACAUUGACGAGAAGGUUUAGCACCUCGAUGUCAGCUCUUCGCCACCUUGGAGUGUUGUAUGUUCCAAGGGUUGGAUUGUUCGCCCAUUAAAGCGGUACAUAAGCUGGGUUUAGAAUGUUGUGAGAUAAAUG